RNAcentral lists this ribosomal RNA (502 nucleotides) under uncultured bacterium. RNAcentral's name for it is "bacterial SSU rRNA". It matches the Rfam family "Bacterial small subunit ribosomal RNA", at positions 28 to 526 of the family's 1533-position model. The record is from RNAcentral.
GAUGAACGCUAGCGGGAGGCCUAAUACAUGCAAGUCGAACGGUAACAGGGUAGCAAUACCGCUGACGAGUGGCGUACGGGUGCGUAACGCGUACACAAUCUACCUCAUACUGGGGCAUACCCUUUGGAAACGAAGAUUAAUUCCCCAUAAUAUAUACGAAAGGCAUCUUUUUGUAUAUUAAAGCUCAGGCGGUAUGAGAUGAGUGUGCGUCCGAUUAGGUAGUUGGUGAGGUAACGGCUCACCAAGCCUACGAUCGGUAGCUGGUCUGAGAGGAUGAUCAGCCACACGGGCACUGAGACACGGGCCCGACUCCUACGGGAGGCAGCAGUAGGGAAUAUUGGACAAUGGACGCAAGUCUGAUCCAGCCAUCCCGCGUGAAGGAUUAAGGCCCUCUGGGUUGUAAACUUCUUUUCUCUGGGAAUAAAAACUCCGAUUCUUCGGAGCCUGAAGGUACCAGAGGAAUAAGCACCGGCUAACUCCGUGCCAGCAGCCGCGGUAAAGU